AAAUGAAUAUCCUUUCAUAUAUUACAGUGAGUUUUUUUAGUUUAUCUAAUUUAAGAUUUAUUUAAUUAAAAGUAAACUUUUUUGCUAGCCUAGAGAUAGUAAAUUUAUUGCAGCUAAGUUCAGAAGUAAUUUGGCCAUAAGAUUUUUGAGAAUGAAGAAAAACACAGGUGAUGUUGUCUUGAAGAGAGCAGAGAAUAGAUCUCAUAGUUAUUUAAAG
RNAcentral lists this long non-coding RNA (217 nucleotides) under Physcomitrium patens. Its description in RNAcentral is "long non-coding RNA (PPAT_LNC003018)". Lineage: Eukaryota; Viridiplantae; Streptophyta; Bryopsida; Funariales; Funariaceae. The record is from RNAcentral.